UAAAAAGUGAGUGGCACACAGAAGACAAGC
RNAcentral lists this non-coding RNA (30 nucleotides) under Mus musculus (house mouse). Lineage: Eukaryota; Metazoa; Chordata; Mammalia; Rodentia; Muridae. The record is from RNAcentral.